AUUGAACGCUGGCGGCAGGCCUAACACAUGCAAGUCGAACGGUAACAGGAAGAAGCUUGCUUCUUUGCUGACGAGUGGCGGACGGGUGAGUAAUGUCUGGGAAACUGCCUGAUGGAGGGGGAUAACUACUGGAAACGGUAGCUAAUACCGCAUAACGUCGCAAGACCAAAGAGGGGGACCUUCGGGCCUCUUGCCAUCGGAUGUGCCCAGAUGGGAUGAGCUAGUAGGUGGGGUAACGGCUCACCUAGGCGACGAUCCCUAGCUGGUCUGAGAGGAUGACCAGCCACACUGGAACUGAGACGCGGUCCAGACUCCUACGGGAGGCAGCAGUGGGGAAUAUUGCACAAUGGGCGCAAGCCUGAUGCAGCCAUGCCGCGUGUAUGAAGAAGGCCUUCGGGUUGUAAAGUACUUUCAGCGGGGAGGAAGGGAGUAAAGUUAAUACCUUUGCUCAUUGACGUUACCCGCAGAAGAAGCACCGGCUAACUCCGUG
RNAcentral lists this ribosomal RNA (490 nucleotides) under uncultured bacterium. RNAcentral's name for it is "partial 16S ribosomal RNA". It matches the Rfam family "Bacterial small subunit ribosomal RNA", at positions 30 to 507 of the family's 1533-position model. The record is from RNAcentral.